GACGAACGCUGGCGGCGUGCCUAAUACAUGCAAGUUGAGCGAUGAAGCUUGGUGCUUGCACCAAUUUGAAGAGCAGCGAACGGGUGAGUAACGCGUGGGGAAUCUGCCUUUGAGCGGGGGACAACAUUGGGAAACGAAUGCUAAUACCGCAUAACAACUUUAAACAUAAGUUUUAAGUUUGAAAGAUGCAAUUGCAUCACUCAAAGAUGAUCCCGCGUUGUAUUAGCUAGUUGGGGAGGUAAAGGCUCACCAAGGCGAUGAUACAUAGCCGACCUGAGAGGGUGAUCGGCCACAUUGGGACUGAGACACGGCCCAAACUCCUACGGGAGGCAGCAGUAGGGAAUCUUCGGCAAUGGACGAAAGUCUGACCGAGCAACGCCGCGUGAGUGAAGAAGGUUUUCGGAUCGUAAAACUCUGUUGGUAGAGAAGAACGUUGGUGAGAGUGGAAAGCUCAUCAAGUGACGGUACCUACCCAGAAAGGGACGGCUAACUACGU
Molecule: ribosomal RNA, 496 nt
Filed under: uncultured bacterium
Lineage: Bacteria
Description: partial 16S ribosomal RNA
Rfam family: Bacterial small subunit ribosomal RNA
Source: RNAcentral